GGUGGCUCAGUGGUAGAGUGCAUGCCUUGCAAGCAUGAGGCCCUGGGUUCCAUUCCCUAGCACCA
Dipodomys ordii (Ord's kangaroo rat) is the source of this 65-nucleotide non-coding RNA. NCBI's taxonomy places the organism in Eukaryota, Metazoa, Chordata, Mammalia, Rodentia, Heteromyidae. The record is from Rfam.